GAAAAAAAACCAAAACUCGCACGCACGAGCGAGACUGCCCUCUCGAUCCCCUCGACCUACGAUCUGUGACUGCAGACGCACCAGAUCGCCGCCGCGGACCUCGCAGAGAAGACGCAGACGAGAUCCCAAGCCGCUGCUCCUCCUCUCCCGGGAUGCAGCCGCCGCCGCCGAACCAGGGAGACGCCGGCGACCGUCGCCGCCGUCGUGGAUCACCAGGACGCCGCCGCCGCCGCCGCCUGCACCGCCACCACCGCGCCUCGGAUACAUCGCUGCGAAGCGGAUCCCUGGGAGCGGGAGGAGGUAGGGGUCAGCCGCGUCGACAGCGGCGAGGUGGAGCCCUGGGGCUGGGAGUGGGUAUGGGAGGAGGUGGGGGGCAGCUGCGAGCGCAACAGGGUGAGGGGCGUCGACGAGAUGCUCGUGGUGCCUCCCUCCGAGUGGGAAGGGGAGAGGGGCGUCAGCGGCGAGCCGGACGGGGCGAGGGGCGUCAGCGGCGAGCCGGACGGGGCGAGGGGCGUCGAUGAGAUGCCCCCGGCGCUUCCCUCCGGGCGGGAGGAGGAGAGGGGCGUCGGCGACGAGGCGAGUGUCGGCGGUGAGAUGGUCUCUGACGGGCGUGAUGAGGCGGGCAGCUUUGGCGUGAAGCGUGCGUUCGUGGAGGUAUUCGCCAGGGCGCUCUUCUAUCCGACGGUGAUGCUCAACUAUGGCCGUAGCUUGAUCGAUCCCGAGUUCCACUGGUGGGAUCGCAUCGACAAGGAUAUUUGGAUAGGGGAAGUUCCUCACCAACCAAUGUCAUAAUUUAUCACGUCCGCAAAUGAUUUUUGGACUGUAGUUUGUAUUGUUCUGCCGAGCGUAUAACAACGCAUGCUAUCUAUCAAAGCUUCGACUCAUUUGUUUUGCUGCUCCGGAAUAUUGAGACGAGAAGAAUGGCCUUGAUGCUGGAGGUUAAUGGAUCACCCUGGGAACGAUUUUGAGGGCAUUAUGCCAGCUACUUUGAUGGCAAUGGAUUAUGGAAUGGCAAACUAACAGGGCACAUCGCACAACUGGUAUAAAUGUGUUGAUAUGUUGCAUUUCAAGGCAGUUUCACUCAUAAAUACUACAAAGUUUGAACCAUUUAGCAUUUGGGACCACGAGGAUUCCGAUUGGGAGAACGACGUCGUCCAUAGAUUAAUGUAUGGGAACACCGGGCCAACUCACUUUACAGGACAGGAGGGUUGACCGCUGGGCGAUGCGCUGCACGAGUAGGCCAGGAGGAACAAGAGUAGAAGAGGACUGUAGCCUGUAGGUGAGAGAAGAUGAUGCCAUUGCCAUCUUGACUGAAGGUUGGGCAUCUAAAGAUGCUUGGCAACCAGAACUCUGAAGCUAAACACCACUUGAAGGUACCUGGAAAUACACUACUUGCUGAAGCUGCACAUCCUACGCCCCAGGAGGAGGCCAAAUGCAUAUUCCGAUCAUGUGAUCUAAAUACUAAAGCUUCCUUGCUGGAUCUAAGCAUACUUCCGUAGCAGCCGGAGCUGAACAUUUAGAGAGACCAUACUGUAGCAAGCUUGCUUUCUAGGGACCUGGUGUUUCUGCAAACCCAACGAUAGGCGUGUUUGAAAAAAAAAGGUCAGUUCGUGUUGCAAUUUCAUGAAAACUUGCUUAUGCGGUGUUAUUGCACUGGUACAAAAAAUGUCAUGGUCUUUUUCUUCCUGUUUAGAUCGCCACCUACCUAUGAAUUACGACUCUGGGCAUGGCAGAAUGUCACCAUAAUUUUUGUUCAGCAACUAGAUUUCAUCCCAAGACGUGCCAUCUCUCUAAUUUGACUCUGAGCAUGUAAUACAGUUAGUUAAUCAUGUGGGUUGGUCUUGUGUCUUCCCGCUGCAAUUGAAUUAGUCUAAGCAAUCGAGGUCCUACUAAUUAAUUAAGCUGGCUAUUUGCUUGCUUCUUGUACCUACGGCAUGCUCUCUGAUUUUUUUUAUCACAGUAUGCAAGCUUCUAAGCGCCGGAUUGAUGUCGUACUAACAAAUUAAGGUGGUUGAUUACUUGCUUUUUUUUCCUCAGUAUUGCAAGCUUUACUGUGAAUUAAAAGGAAUUAAAAGGAUGGAGCCAGUAUGCCUACAGUUGAUUCACUGAUGUUCAAAUUAACUGCAGUAGCUUAUUUUUCCUACAACUUCAUUGAAAGUUCCUUUGCCGUAUCUAAUUAUCUAAAGUUUUCCUUGUACCAUUUUCCAUGAGAUUAAUGUAAUUGGGAAUACCAGUGCUUGUUUGAAUCAUUUAGUUAAUUAAUUUUGUAGAUAAAACUUGUAUUUGUAUGUUUUAGAAUUACUAUUAUCCUGGUAAAAUGACCACAAGUGAAAGGGUUGUAAAGAUUAAUUAUUCUUUGUGGAAGCAUUAUUGGUCUAAUUAAUAGAUGUACAUGCAUCAAUAAUGUUGUUGAGCUUUAGUUGAUUCUAUAGUGUCGUACUAUUCGCAAAGUUCUAUUUUGAGAAAAAAUAGCAAAUUCAAUAUUGUGGCAGCUAAAUGGCGCGCCCGCUGUAGCAAGUGAGUGCCCAUCGAAAUCACCCUAAGCAUAUUUGCGCUGAUUUUCAUGAUUGCUCUUCUGCCAGCAACAAUGUUCCUCGCACUUCGACCACACAACUGUAUGUUCAUCUUCCAGAGUCCUUAUUCAUAGUUAAUUUCAAUCACAAAGUGACAAAUGCCAGUCUAUUAGUUAACAUGUGUAUCUCCGUUUCUUCUAAGUUUUAAUCGACCUACUCUGAAGUUGUUCCUAAGACAGUGCCUCAAGCAAAGGGAAUGAGCCUCAGUUAGUGUAUCUAGCGUGUUCGCGAUCCUUUGUUGGGAUAAACAUUUGUGCAAGAGCAAGUCUCGUCACUGUUGGUUGUUAGUACUGUUGCUUGAUAAUUCUAAUUUUUACUUCAGUUCAUAAGGCAAUGUAGUUAUGCUUGACGCAUGAUAUGAAGACUGCCAUUUUGCCUUUUGACCUUGGUUUCUUCCUCCAGUAAGUAAAUGCACAUAGUUCUUUUCUAAAUUAGAGCAUAUGACUUGUUGAUCGAUCUCUGAGCUCAGUAAUAAUAUUAAGCCUUAAUCUGUUUAUUGUGCAGACAAGAUGAGAAAGAAAUGCUACCCAAGAAUAUGUACUUUAUAAACAUUUCAACUGUAAUCUGGAAUAAAAUUAAAUAAAUAAGGAAACAGUAUAUUCAUAUAUCUUUUUUGUACUUUGAUGGUUUCACACCACAAGUUCCUAGAUGGUAAUUGUGCUGCAUAUGUCUGCUCUCUUACUUUGUUUUUCUGAACAGGUAGGUUCCGGAAGAUGUCAUGAAGAAUUUCUUUGAGAAAAUUUGCGUGAGGUGUGUCUAAAUGAUUUUUAUCUUCUGAACAUAUUCUUGUAUGACUAACUGAAUUCAUUUUCUCAAAACGUUGGUACUUUUCCUUUUUCAUUUAUGUUGCUCGACUGAGUCUCUCUCGGAUCAUGUAAACUCGACAUGCUAGCUGAUCUGUAGCAGUGCGGAAGGUGAGCUUGGCUGCCGGCAGCAGCUCCUUUCGCUGAUCUGCGGCGAUGCAGAAGUUGGGUUGGAAAAAAGCACGACCGGCUGCUCUGAAGUGGGUCGUAGGGAGAGCUUCGUAAGAGAUAGGGAGGGAGCUCUAUUGGCCCGUGCAUGACAUCCAACCCAAUGGCAUCAUGCCCUGGUAGGCAUGGUUGCAUGGCCACGGGGAGAAUGGAGCAAGUAGCGUGUGAGGAGUUUAAGAAAUGGGGACAAGGGACAAUUUAGUUAAUUAAGUCUAUGUUAGUUUCAAGUUUUAUCCUUGUUGCGUUAAAAAAUUAAGGUUGGAUUAACCACCAUGUACAUCUUCAAUUACUUUUAAAUAAGAAAUAUAAUCAAAAUAUUCUUUUGAAAUCAUGAAAUUUAUAUAAUUUGUACAAGUACAUGAAGGUGGAACAGGAGGAAGGGUGGGAGAAGAUUAGGCCCCGUUUGGUAACAAAGUA
This is a long non-coding RNA of Triticum dicoccoides, 3961 nucleotides long. RefSeq lists it as uncharacterized. The transcript has 8 exons. NCBI's taxonomy places the organism in Eukaryota, Viridiplantae, Streptophyta, Magnoliopsida, Poales, Poaceae. The record is from RefSeq and is a predicted model, not a curated record.